RNAcentral lists this ribosomal RNA (370 nucleotides) under uncultured bacterium. Its description in RNAcentral is "bacterial SSU rRNA". It matches the Rfam family "Bacterial small subunit ribosomal RNA", at positions 527 to 896 of the family's 1533-position model. The record is from RNAcentral.
GGAGGGGGCUAGCGUUGUUCGGAAUUACUGGGCGUAAAGCGUACGUAGGCGGCUUUGUAAGUUAGAGGUGAAAGCCCGGGGCUCAACUCCGGAAUUGCCUUUAAGACUGCAUCGCUUGAAUCAUGGAGAGGUUAGUGGAAUUCCGAGUGUAGAGGUGAAAUUCGUAGAUAUUCGGAAGAACACCAGUGGCGAAGGCGACUAACUGGACAUGUAUUGACGCUGAGGUACGAAAGCGUGGGGAGCAAACAGGAUUAGAUACCCUGGUAGUCCACGCCGUAAACGAUGAUAACUAGCUGUCGGGGCGCUUAGCGUUUCGGUGGCGCAGCUAACGCGUUAAGUUAUCCGCCUGGGGAGUACGGCCGCAAGGUUA